GAUGAAGAACGCAGCGAAAUGCGAUAAGUAAUGUGAAUUGCAGAAUUCAGUGAAUCAUCGAAUCUUUGAACGCACAUUGCGCCCGCCAGCAUUCUGGCGGGCAUGCCUGUUCGAGCGUCAUUUCAACCCUCGAGCCCCCCCGGGGGCCUCGGUGUUGGGGGACGGCACACCAGCCGCCCCCGAAAUGCAGUGGCGACCCCGCCGCAGCCUCCCCUGCGUAGUAGCACACACCUCGCACCGGAGCGCGGAGGCGGUCACGCCGUAAAACGCCCAACUUUCUCAGAGUUGACCUCGGAUCAGGUAGGAAUACCCGCUGAACUUAAGCAUAUCAAUAAGCGGAGGA
Molecule: unclassified non-coding RNA, 343 nt
Filed under: soil metagenome
Description: partial contains 5.8S ribosomal RNA, internal transcribed spacer 2, and large subunit ribosomal RNA
Rfam family: 5.8S ribosomal RNA (bases 1-120)
Source: RNAcentral